UACGUAGGGGGCGAGCGUUGUCCGGAUUUAUUGGGCGUAAAGAGCUCGUAGGCGGUUCGAUAAGUCGGACGUGAAAUCUCCACGCUCAACGUGGAGGGGCCGUUCGAUACUGUCGUGACUCGAGUCCGGUAGGGGAGUGUGGAAUUCCCGGUGUAGCGGUGAAAUGCGCAGAUAUCAGGAGGAACACCAAUGGCGAAGGCAGCUCGCUGGGACGUGACUGACGCUGAGACGCGAAAGCGUGGGGAGCAAACAGG
RNAcentral lists this ribosomal RNA (254 nucleotides) under uncultured bacterium. RNAcentral describes it as "partial 16S ribosomal RNA". It matches the Rfam family "Bacterial small subunit ribosomal RNA", at positions 524 to 776 of the family's 1533-position model. The record is from RNAcentral.